This 468-nucleotide ribosomal RNA is filed under the name uncultured bacterium. RNAcentral's name for it is "partial 16S ribosomal RNA". It matches the Rfam family "Bacterial small subunit ribosomal RNA", at positions 28 to 507 of the family's 1533-position model. The record is from RNAcentral.
GACGAACGCUGGCGGCGUGCUUAACACAUGCAAGUCGAACGGAAAGGCCCUGCUUUUGUGGGGUGCUCGAGUGGCGAACGGGUGAGUAACACGUGAGUAACCUGCCCUUGACUUUGGGAUAACUUCAGGAAACUGGGGCUAAUACCGGAUAGGAGCCCCUGCUGCAUGGUGGGCGUUGGAAAGUUUCGGCGGUUGGGGAUGGACUCGCGGCUUAUCAGCUUGUUGGUGGGGUAGUGGCUUACCAAGGCUUUGACGGGUAGCCGGCCUGAGAGGGUGACCGGCGACAUUGGGCCUGAGAUACGGCCCAGACGGCUACGGGGGGCAGCGGUGGGGAAUAUUGCACAAUGGGCGGAAGCCUGAGGCAGCAACGCCGCGUGCGGGAUGACGGCCUUCGGGUUGUAAACCGCUUUCGCCUGUGACGAAGCGUGAGUGACGGUAAUGGGUAAAGAAGCACCGGCUAACUACGUG